ACACCUAAUGUCACAUAAACAAUAUUUUUUGAUAUAACAACCAUAGUUGACUAUUGUAAGAAAAAGAACGCAGCUUAGGUCUUCAAAUACCUAUUCAAAAUGUACUGAUUUUUUUCAUUUUUAUAUGCAAAUUGCAAUAUAAGAUUUAGUGUUUCCUUCUAUACCUCAAAAUUAAGCAAAAUGUAGUUAGGGAGUUUAUGAGAUUAUGGGCAGUAUAUUGCAGAUCAUGGUGAUAGUGGUGCAAUAAUAUUGCCGACGCUGUGCUUCUUUGAGCAGAAUGCACAGAAAAGCAAGCCACUAUGUGCAUAUCGUGCAAAAACACACAAUUGUUGCUGUUUCCCCUCUAGGGUUUAUGCUCAUGAAAACUUAGGACUUUGUCUGAAGUUGUUGAUUAUUAAAAUCUUAAUUAAUCUGGUGUCGGGGCACUCCCAACAUCAGCAUUUAAAUCAUACACACAAUCCACAACAGCAGUAGUUGGGUGUAGUUAUUUCACAUCAACAACAACAUGUAAGUUUUACAGCAACAGCAACAACAGCAAUUACAUCACCAUCAGUCGAUUAUAGUUGGGUCGGCCAAGAACUUGAACAUUAAUCUCUAGAAGGUGGACAUUGUUGCCAUUACAAAAGCACUGUUACAGUGCAACAUAUUCGUCACUGGCAAGGACCAUCGCCGCAGUACAUAGAUGUGAAUGGUUUCAACAACAGCUAUACUAUAGCAGCAAUAAAAAGGUUCUGGUACACAACAACAACAGGAAGACAAGCACACUUUCAGUCUUUUAGCCGGCUGCAAUAACAAGCACACCCAUUACCAGCAAAAUAUUUACCACUUCAACGAGUCAACAACAAACAGUUACCUUAGUUCAAUAAACAUAAACAAAAAUACGCCUGCUUGGGCAUUGAUUUUAAUAACUCCACAGUCAAAUCAAAUAUCCAGUCUGUCGAUGGAAUAUUAAAAAAGAU
Molecule: long non-coding RNA, 959 nt
Organism: Episyrphus balteatus (marmalade hoverfly)
Lineage: Eukaryota; Metazoa; Arthropoda; Insecta; Diptera; Syrphidae
Exons: 2
Source: RefSeq, a predicted model, not a curated record